AGGACGAACGCUGGCGGCGUGCCUAACACAUGCAAGUCGAACGGAGGUAGCAAUACCUCAGUGGCGAACGGGUGCGUAACACGUGAGAAAUCUGUCCAUCGGCGGGGGAUAGCCGGCCCAACGGCCGGGUAAUACCGCGUACGUCGGCGAGAGCGCAUGCUCAUGCCGGGAAAGCAGCAAUGCACCGAUGGAGGAUCUCGCGGCCUAUCAGUCUUGGUUGGUGAGGUAACGGCUACGACCAAGGCGACGACGGGUAGCUGGUCUGAGAGGAUGGAUCAGCCACGAGUUGGGACUGAGACCGACGGCCCAGACCGUCGUACGGGAGCAGUCGAGGUGGGAAUUAGUUG
Molecule: ribosomal RNA, 347 nt
Filed under: uncultured soil bacterium
Lineage: Bacteria
Description: bacterial SSU rRNA
Rfam family: Bacterial small subunit ribosomal RNA
Source: RNAcentral